This 383-nucleotide ribosomal RNA is filed under the name uncultured organism. RNAcentral describes it as "bacterial SSU rRNA". It matches the Rfam family "Bacterial small subunit ribosomal RNA", at positions 45 to 433 of the family's 1533-position model. The record is from RNAcentral.
UGCCUUACACAUGCAAGUCGAACGCGAAAGGGGGCAACCCCGAGUAGAGUGGCGAACGGGUGAGCAAUACAUCGGAACAUUUCCUGUAGCGGGGGACAACCCCGAGAAAUCGGGGCUAAUACCGCAUACGAUCUACGGAUGAAAGUGGGGGACCGCAAGGCCUCACACUAUAGGAGUGGCCGAUGCCGGAUUAGCUAGUUGGUGGGGUAACGGCCCACCAAGGCGACGAUCCGUAGCUGGUUUGAGAGAACGACCAGCCACACUGGGACUGAGACACGGCCCAGACUCCUACGGGAGGCAGCAGUGGGGAAUUUUGGACAAUGGGCGAAAGCCUGAUCCAGCCAUGCCGCGUGAGUGAAGAAGGCCUUCGGGUUGUAAAGCUC